Molecule: ribosomal RNA, 513 nt
Filed under: uncultured bacterium
Lineage: Bacteria
Description: partial 16S ribosomal RNA
Rfam family: Bacterial small subunit ribosomal RNA
Source: RNAcentral
GAUGAACGCUGGCGGCGUGCCUAAUACAUGCAAGUCGAACGCACAGCGAAAGGUGCUUGCACCUUUCAAGUGAGUGGCGAACGGGUGAGUAACACGUGGACAACCUGCCUCAAGGCUGGGGAUAACACUUGGAAACAGAUGCUAAUACCGAAUAAAACUCAGUGUCGCAUGACACAAAGUUAAAAGGCGCUUUGGCGUCACCUAGAGAUGGAUCCGCGGUGCAUUAGUUAGUUGGUGGGGUAAAGGCCUACCAAGACAAUGAUGCAUAGCCGGGUUGAGAGACAGAUCGGCCACAUUGGGACUGAGACACGGCCCAAACUCCUACGGGAGGCUGCAGUAGGGAAUCUUCCACAAUGGGCGAAAGCCUGAUGGAGCAACGCCGCGUGUGUGAUGAAGGCUUUCGGGUCGUAAAGCACUGUUGUAUGGGAAGAACAGCUAGAAUAGGGAAUGAUUUUAGUUUGACGGUACCAUACCAGAAAGGGACGGCUAAAUACGUGCCAGCAGCCGCCGCAG